Molecule: long non-coding RNA, 422 nt
Organism: Hydra vulgaris (swiftwater hydra)
Lineage: Eukaryota; Metazoa; Cnidaria; Hydrozoa; Anthoathecata; Hydridae
Source: RefSeq, a predicted model, not a curated record
AGGGAUCGGUAUAAUAACGUCAGGUAAAGUAAAAACAUGAUUGCAGGCGUUAACAUUACUUCAAAGCAGGUUAAUGGCAAAUAAAUUAAAAACAAAGUUUAACUUGACCUGAUCUAAUACAAAACAAGCAAAAGAUAAUGGAUUUUAAAUAUUUACAGGGUGUUAAUGAUGCAGUUACCUGAUGUUCUUAAAUAAAAGUACACAAUGCACAAAGAUAGAAUUUAGAUUAUUUGAAGGUUGCACCAUAUUGAUUGGAUUGUGGAAAAUGCAUCAAAUCAAAAUGAUUCUGAUAACAGAAGGAAAUAAAAAUAUAUAUGAAUUUGAUAUUGGUGAUGAAGAUAAAGAUAUCAUGAUUUUAUCAAGAUCGUUUUAAAAAUAACUUUAAUUUUGUAUAAGUUAUUGUUCUAAAAAUGUAUAAAUUA